This is a non-coding RNA of Candidatus Desantisbacteria bacterium CG1_02_38_46, 90 nucleotides long. The record is from Rfam. NCBI's taxonomy places the organism in Bacteria, Candidatus Desantisiibacteriota.
GGAGAGGUGGCCGAGCUGGCUUAAGGCAAUCGCCUGCUAAGCGAUUAGUCCCCUAACAGGGAUUCCCGGGUUCGAAUCCCGGCCUCUCCG